RNAcentral lists this ribosomal RNA (290 nucleotides) under uncultured bacterium. RNAcentral's name for it is "partial 16S ribosomal RNA". It matches the Rfam family "Bacterial small subunit ribosomal RNA", at positions 337 to 644 of the family's 1533-position model. The record is from RNAcentral.
UCCUACGGGGCGCAGCAGUGGGGAAUAUUGCCCAAUGGGGGAAACCCUGAUGCAGCGACGCCGCGUGAGUGAAGAAGUAUUUCGGUAUGUAAAGCUCUAUCAGCAGGGAAGAAAAUGACGGUACCUGACUAAGAAGCCCCGGCUAACUACGUGCCAGCAGCCGCGGUAAUACGUAGGGGGCAAGCGUUAUCCGGAUUUACUGGGUGUAAAGGGAGCGUAGACGGCAGAGCAAGUCUGAAGUGAAAGCUCGCGGCCCAACUGCGGGACUGCUUUGGAAACUGCCCGGCUCG